CAUUUGUUGGAAAAAUAGAAAACGAGAAGUAUGGUUUGUUCAGAUAUCUCUCUCGCGGCGACAGAGACCAAACACUUGUUCAUCCGAUUUCCGUCUGAUUUCCGGCAAAAUCGAUCUCUGCUCGAUGGCGUAACCGUUAUCAGCUUUGUAUUUGGUCGAAUCCGUUUAUUUUCCGUUCAUAUCUCCGGCGAACCUUGACAAAAUCGAAAUCCUCACCGAUCUGUUCUCUCAUCCUCUCCUUGGUCUUUAUCUUCUUCGGAAAGGAACCUAGAAGUUGUCUCUGGCCCCUUUGAAGAAUGAUCUUGUCUGUUCAAGAAAUGGUAGGGUUCUAACGAUAGGUGGAGGGGGAGGAGGAAACAUGGGAGGGCUAACAACGGAUGAUGCCCUGAGCUAUCUCAAAGCUGUCAAGGAUAUGUUUCAAGACAAGAAAGCUGUCAAGGAGGCAUUAAGUUUGAUAAGGUCAUACUUGAUUACCCACAUGAGUAUCUGACUUCAGUCAAGGGAACCUAUAGUGCAUUUGAUGUCUGCAGGUGCUGAGAUCAAAAAACAUAAGUUGGUGACAGAUACUGAGAAGUUGCAGCCAAAAGCUGGAGGUGGUGUAAAAAUACAUGGACCAUGGGGUGGUAUCGGUGGUAUCAUGUUUGACGACGGGAUAUAUACCGGUGUUAGACAGAUCAAUUUGUCACGCAGUGUUGGGCUUGUGUGGAUGAAGGUGUGCUAUGAUUUUAAAGGACAAGCUGUGUGGGGAAGCAAGCAUGGUGGCAGGGGAGGAUUCAAACAUGAUAACGACACUUUCCUUGCAAAGCCCAGAGAGUUAACACGAGUGAUGUCAUUGCAAGCGUAAAAGAGUUGUUCAAGGGCUAUGACGACUUGCUUUUGGGGUAGGGUUAUGAUUUCUUCAGCGCUGCGCCAUUGACUUCCUUGAUAGUGAUAUGAAGUAAAAAGCUCUAAGAGCGCCUUGGCGAAGUUUUCCUCCAAUUUUGAUCUACUGACUCCAUAAAAGACAGUGACCACGACAUGGCCUUUGUCAUGUCUCCGUUGGCUAGUCUUUAAGAAAUCAUCCAAAGAUUCCUUGGAGGACACGUAAUUCUUAGAAAAAAUCAAAACAGAAGCAAUGCACUCGAAAAAUUCAUCAUGAUUAUCUGUGAGCACAGAAAUGCCUUUACGACCAAAAGCAGCGGAUAGAUGGGGAACGAGGGAGCAUCGUGUUGUCUCAUCCGACCUGUCGAAGCUGAUUUUGACCUUGUCGCAAGCUGCCAUAACUUGAAAAUAUCUUAAGAUUGGUGGUUUCUUGGGAAUGCUCUGUUUCUGAGAACAGGGGAAGGUGAAGAUCAGAGUUAUAACAAACCUCGCAACUUGGUGAUGUAAAUCAGAGUUUGAACAAGUCUUAGCAGACACUUGUAAGUUUAAUAUUAGCAACUAAGAUGAACAAUGCUUUUUCCAAGAAGUUUAUUUGCAGCUUCAUACGUAACUACAACUGCUAAAGACGUUUACUUCUGGGAUUACGCAAGCUUUUUAUUUUUA
Raphanus sativus (radish) is the source of this 1524-nucleotide RNA transcript. It is a transcript of the gene named jacalin-related lectin 3-like, with no coding region annotated. The record is from RefSeq and is a predicted model, not a curated record. Lineage: Eukaryota; Viridiplantae; Streptophyta; Magnoliopsida; Brassicales; Brassicaceae. The transcript is spliced from 6 exons.